GCAAACUUGGUCAUUUAGAGGAAGUAAAAGUCGUAACAAGGUAACCGUAGGUGAACCUGCGGUUGGAUCAUUAACAAAAUGCGAUUGUGGCUCUCUGCUUGGGAGGCCAUGAAUCCAAACCCCAUGUGCACCGUAUUUGUAUUUGGCAAGUUAUGCAUGCCUUGCAGCGAAAUUCGGCUAUGAGUUUGCGUUUAUGGCAUGUGCAGAGUUUCAAUGCGGCGCUUGUUUGCCAGUAUUGAAAGCUUGCCAAUGAUUUUAAUAAACAUUGUUGCUUAUCAAGUCUGAGCAUUCAAUUAAACAAAAAUUGUUAAAACAACUUUUGGCAACGGAUCUCUUGGCUCUCGCAUCGAUGAAGAACGCAGC
This 363-nucleotide unclassified non-coding RNA is filed under the name uncultured fungus. RNAcentral describes it as "partial contains small subunit ribosomal RNA, internal transcribed spacer 1, and 5.8S ribosomal RNA". The stretch from base 1 to 73 matches the Rfam family "Eukaryotic small subunit ribosomal RNA", at positions 1759 to 1831 of the family's 1831-position model. Lineage: Eukaryota; Fungi. The record is from RNAcentral.